GUUGUUCGGAAUCCCUGGGCUUAAAGGGCGCGUAGGCGGGCUGUCAAGUCUGGGGUGAAAUCCCGCGGCUCAACCGUGGAACUGCCUCAGAUACUGACGGCCUCGAGGGAGGUAGGGGCAUGCGGAACUGUAGGUGGAGCGGUGAAAUGCGUUGAUAUCUACAGGAACUCCGGUGGCGAAAGCGGCGUGCUGGACCUCUUCUGACGCUGAGGCGCGAAAGCUAGGGGAGCAAACGGG
RNAcentral lists this ribosomal RNA (237 nucleotides) under uncultured bacterium. Its description in RNAcentral is "partial 16S ribosomal RNA". It matches the Rfam family "Bacterial small subunit ribosomal RNA", at positions 540 to 776 of the family's 1533-position model. The record is from RNAcentral.